Lucilia sericata (common green bottle fly) is the source of this 625-nucleotide long non-coding RNA. RefSeq lists it as uncharacterized. The record is from RefSeq and is a predicted model, not a curated record. The transcript is spliced from 3 exons. Lineage: Eukaryota; Metazoa; Arthropoda; Insecta; Diptera; Calliphoridae.
UAUUUACAUCACUAGUGUUUUGUUUGUUUUAAUUUAUUUUUGUGCCUAUACAAAUAUCGUGUUUAAAAAAAUCGCAAAUAUUUUUGCAAAUAAUUAACAAAAAAAUAAUGGAUGAGGAAGAGUUUUUAGAGAUUUUGUCCAGCAAUCCAGUUUUACAGGAAAUAAAUGAAAAAUUCUUCCAAAAGACAAAGAAGUGAAAAUUGGUGUGAGGUGGACAAGGAGCUGCUUAAGGAAUUGAUAAAAAAAAAGAGUUAAAGAUGUCGAAAAUAAAAAUACGGAUAUAGAAAAAAAUUUUAAUAGCCUUUGUUCGUCUGAAAAAAGGACAAUUCACCAAUUAAAGUCUCAAUGGACUUCCAUAAAAGUAAAUGCAAAAAAGGUAGUAUCGGAACACCGAGAAAGUGUGAAAAAACCGGAGGGGGACAAGCUCCCACAGAAAUGCCAUUAUGUAGUACUGAUAUAAGUGUAUGGCUACCUAAUGAAUUUGUUAUUGAUAACAAUCAAUACGAUUCUGAUGUCAUAUUGAUAAGUGUAUCCAUAUCCAUUGUUCUUUAACACUUAAAAAUUCUUUUAUGUCAAACAAAACAAAAGGCGGAAAAACUUUGUACAAAACAUAAACAAAUACCAA